AGUGGCGAACGGGUGAGUAAUAUAUCGGAACGUACCUUAUUGUGGGGGAUAACGCAGCGAAAGCUGUGCUAAUACCGCAUAAUCCCUAAGGGGGAAAGCGGGGGACCGUAAGGCCUCGCGCAAUUAGAGCGGCCGAUACCUGAUUAGCUAGUUGGUGAGGUAAAGGCUCACCAAGGCAACGAUCAGUAGCUGGUCUGAGAGGACGAUCAGCCACACUGGGACUGAGACAAGGCCCAGACUCCUACGGGAGGCAGCAGUGGGGAAUUUUGGACAAUGGGGGCAACCCUGAUCCAGCAAUGCCGCGUGAGUGAAGAAGGCCUUCGGGUUGUAAAGCUCUUUUGUCAGGGAAGAAACAGCAGCUCUAACACAGUUUGCGAAUGACGGUACCUGAAGAAUAAGCACCGGCUAACUACGUGCCAGCAGCCGCGGUAAUACGUAGGGUGCAAGCGUUAAUCGGAAUUACUGGGCGUAAAGCGUGCGCAGGCGGUUAUGUAAGACAGGCGUGAAAUCCCCGGGCUUAACCUGGGAAUUGCGCUUGUGACUGCAUAGCUAGAGUAUGUCAGAGGGGGGUAGAAUUCCACGUGUAGCAGUGAAAUGCGUAGAGAUGUGGAGGAAUACCAAUGGCGAAGGCAGCCCCCUGGGAUAAUACAGACGCUCAUGCACGAAAGCGUGGGGAGCAAACAGGAUUAGAUACCCUGGU
RNAcentral lists this ribosomal RNA (700 nucleotides) under uncultured beta proteobacterium. RNAcentral's name for it is "bacterial SSU rRNA". It matches the Rfam family "Bacterial small subunit ribosomal RNA", at positions 94 to 791 of the family's 1533-position model. The record is from RNAcentral. Lineage: Bacteria; Pseudomonadati; Pseudomonadota; Betaproteobacteria.